This 870-nucleotide ribosomal RNA is filed under the name Chondrina calpica calpica. RNAcentral's name for it is "partial large subunit ribosomal RNA". The stretch from base 361 to 551 matches the Rfam family "Bacterial large subunit ribosomal RNA", at positions 1705 to 2024 of the family's 2925-position model. Lineage: Eukaryota; Metazoa; Mollusca; Gastropoda; Stylommatophora; Chondrinidae. The record is from RNAcentral.
UAAACUAUAUGGAUUUUAAAUAAAAAGACCCGAAAUAGUAAGAUCGAAAAAGUUAUACGGUUUAGUAAUUAGGUUAAAUAUGUAGCAUAAUAUUAUUUUAAUAACUUUUUAGAGGAGAUAUUCCAACAGUUAUUAUGAUAGCUGGAUUAGGAGGAAAAGUAUUAAGUACUUAAAACAAUUAUAAAGUGAUAAGAUUUUAUAAAGGAAAUAAAUUGUUUUUAGAUUGAUUAGGGAUAAUCCCCUAAAAGUAGGUGACUUCUGGUAUAUAUUAAAUAUAUCUUUUUAAAAUUACCCUUAAACUAGAGCUAAUUAAAAACUUUAGUUUAUAAUGUUUAAAUUAGUAUUUUUGUAUAAAUUUUAUUAAGGAACUCGGCAAAUAUCAUAUUCGACUGUUUAACAAAAACAUAGUCCGUUGUUGUUUAUAAUGGAUAUAUACUGCCCGGUGAUAUUAUUAAACGGCCGCAGUACCAUGACUGUGCGAAGGUAGCAUAAUAAUUUGGCCUUUAAAUGGGGUCUAGAAUGAAAGGAUAUACGAAUAGUAGCUGUCUCAACCUUAAUUAAAGAUAAUUUAUUUAAAAGGUGCAAAUACCUUUAUCCUAAUAUAAUAGACGAGAAGACCCUUAGAAUUUAAUUUAAAAUAAGUGUUCUAUUUAUUUUGGUUUUGUUGGGGCAACAAAGCAACAGAAUAUUAAUCUGCUUUUUUUAGUAUUAAGGUAGGCCGACUGUUAGUAUGGAUAUAAAAAUUACCUUAGGGAUAACAGCAUAAUUUAAUAAAGAUUGUGACCUCGAUGUUGGAUUAGGGCCAUAAUAAUUUAACCAAUUAAUAUGUUAGUUCUGUUCGAACUUCAUUACCUACAUGAUCUGAGUUCA